This is a non-coding RNA of Mycena metata, 79 nucleotides long. The record is from the annotation of a GenBank genome assembly. Lineage: Eukaryota; Fungi; Basidiomycota; Agaricomycetes; Agaricales; Mycenaceae.
GCCUCCAUAGAUCAGUGUUAGAUCACCUCCGCGGCGUCACUAAGUUCAGGAGACGUAGGUUCGAGUCCUACUGGAGGCG